GAAGAGUUCAUCUGUGUGUCUGCUGCUCGGUGUGUCUGUGCUGCUGCUGUCUGGUUCCACUGAUUCAGCAGUCUCUCUGAGUGUCAGUCCAGACCUUCAGCAGUUCUUCAA
Molecule: long non-coding RNA, 111 nt
Organism: Scomber japonicus (chub mackerel)
Lineage: Eukaryota; Metazoa; Chordata; Actinopteri; Scombriformes; Scombridae
Exons: 3
Source: RefSeq, a predicted model, not a curated record